UGGAAGAACUCUCUUUAAGGAACUCUGCAAAAUAGCACCGUAUCUUCGGUAUAAGGUGUGGUUCGCUUGGUAUUAGAAUUUACUUCGAAAGCCAAGAAACUUACAACAAAGAGUCCCUCCCGACUGUUUACCAAAAACACAGCACUCUGCUAACUCGUAAGAGGAUGUAUAGGGUGUGACGCCUGCCCGGUGCUCGAAGGUUAAUUGAUGGGGUUAGCAUUAGCGAAGCUCUUGAUCGAAGCCCGAGUAAACGGCGGCCGUAACUAUAACGGUCCUAAGGUAGCGAAAUUCCUUGUCGGUUAAAUACCGACCUGCAUGAAUGGCGUAACGAGAUGGGAGCUGUCUCAAAGAGGGAUCCAGUGAAAUUGUAGUGGAGGUGAAAAUUCCUCCUACCCGCGGCAAGACGGAAAGACCCCGUGGACCUUUACUAUAACUUGACACUGCUAUUUGGAUAAGAAUGUGCAGGAUAGGUGGGAGGCUUUGAUUAUAUGACGUCAGUUGUAUAGGAGCCAUUGUUGAGAUACCACUCUUUCUUAUUUGGGUAGCUAACUAGCCUAAGUUAUCCUUAGGUAGGACAAUGUCUGGUGGGUAGUUUGACUGGGGCGGUCGCCUCCCAAAUAAUAACGGAGGCUUACAAAGGUUGGCUCAGAACGGUUGGAAAUCGUUCGUAGAGUAUAAAGGUAUAAGCCAGCUUAACUGCAAGACAUACAAGUCAAGCAGAGACGAAAGUCGGUCUUAGUGAUCCGGUGGUUCUGUGUGGAAGGGCCAUCGCUCAAAGGAUAAAAGGUACCCCGGGGAUAACAGGCUGAUCUCCCCCAAGAGCUCACAUCGACGGGGAGGUUUGGCACCUCGAUGUCGGCUCAUCGCAUCCUGGGGCUGGAGCAGGUCCCAAGGGUAUGGCUGUUCGCCAUUUAAAGCGGUACGCGAGCUGGGUUCAGAACGUCGUGAGACAGUUCGGUCCCUAUCUGCCGUGGGCGUAAGAAGAUUGAAGAGAUUUGACCCUAGUACGAGAGGACCGGGUUGAACAAACCACUGGUGUAGCUGUUGUUCUGCCAAGAGCAUCGCAGCGUAGCUAAGUUUGGAAAGGAUAAACGCUGAAAGCAUCUAAGCGUGAAGCCAACUCUAAGAUGAAUCUUCUCUAAGCUCUCUAGAAGACUACUAGUUUGAUAGGCUGGGUGUGUAAUGGAUGAAAGUCCUUUAGCUGACCAGUACUAAUAGAGCGUUUGGCUUAUCUUUAAUAAAGCAU
This 1246-nucleotide ribosomal RNA is filed under the name Campylobacter coli. RNAcentral's name for it is "partial 23S ribosomal RNA". It matches the Rfam family "Bacterial large subunit ribosomal RNA", at positions 1691 to 2925 of the family's 2925-position model. The record is from RNAcentral. Lineage: Bacteria; Pseudomonadati; Campylobacterota; Epsilonproteobacteria; Campylobacterales; Campylobacteraceae.